This 2115-nucleotide long non-coding RNA is filed under the name Macaca fascicularis (crab-eating macaque). RNAcentral's name for it is "lncRNA (ENSMFAG00000057722.1)". The record is from RNAcentral. Lineage: Eukaryota; Metazoa; Chordata; Mammalia; Primates; Cercopithecidae.
UUUUUUUUUUUUUCAGUUUAGUAGAGGAUCCAUUUCCAUCUUUAACUCCAAAGACGGCAUGAGCCUUUCUACCAAAGGGGUUCUGAAAAGCUCCUCCAUUGCUACAGAUCAGAGACAAGAACUUUACACAUAAAGAACACAGCAGCUAUUGCAGCAUUGCACAAUGAUGAGUAAUGCUUUAGAGAGCAUAAACUAUGGAACCUAGGAAAUUCUUACAAACAUAGUAGUUGAUAUGAACUUAAUACUGAAAAUAGUGAAUUAGGUAGAGAUUAAGACUUAGUAAUAAGAGGCCUUCAACAAUAAAUGGACUCACUAGGAACAUAUGUUUCUGUGUUGCUCAGAAUCUGCUCCACAGCGGUUGUCUUUGUUCUUACAGAGAAAUAAAUGAAGUCUGUGUAAUGGGUAAGGACACAUAGGUGAGCUAACGUUUGAGCUGAGAUUCGAAGAAUGAAUGGCAUUUUAUCUUGUGUGUAGGGGAAAGGGAAACUCAUUCCAGUUAGGGAAAUGAGAUGAAAAGGCAUAACUCAGGAUGGAAGUGCAUAACUCUCUCGACACAAUACAGGAUCCAGGUAGACUGUGUUUAGGGUUUUGGAAAUGAUAUGGGAUGAAGCUAGAAAGGCAAGAGAGUCUGCACUUAAAGGUCUGGGAAUAUCAUCUUAAGCGGUUAAGUUUUACUCUACUGUGAAGGAGAAGUCUGAGAAGGGCAGGGACAUAAGCCUAUCUAGUCUCUAUGCCCCUCUAUAAGACAAAGAACCCUCUGUGGGCUUCAAGCACGUAUUCCUUAAGCCUAGAAUAGAGGCAGAAAAGGAACUUCGCUCAUGUUCUCUUGUUGGUUAAUGAAGAUUUGUAUCAAUUGCUUCUUUUAGCAAAUCUUGGCUGACAAUAUGGAAUACUGAAUGAAGAAGAGAGAGGCUAGAGGCACCAGAAUUCCUAGGAGGUCACUGCAACUGCUGGGAAAAUGCAAGUCAUUCUAUGAACGAAGAUGAUUUGGAAGGUGGAUAUGAAAGAAAUUGUAGAAGUCGAAUUAAUAGAAUUUGGUGAUUGGCUGGACUUCUGAUGAAGGUAGAAAAUUUUUAUAACUCAGAUGAACAGGUUGAGGAUGAUGCUUCUCUCAAAGAUAAGAAAAGCCUUGAAGAGGCGAAGGGGUUUUCUUCGGCUGGGGAAGGGUGGUGCAGGAAGAAAAGGAAAGAAUCAUGCUUGGGACACCUAGAGUUCAAAAAGCCUGUUUGACUUUAACAUGGAAACAUCCGAAAUGGGGCUGGGGCUUAAAAGGCAGCUAGAGAUGUUAGCAAGUCAAGAUGUUUGCCUGGAUUUCAAAUGCGUAACUUGAUAUUAGGAACUGCAUCUCUGACUAAACUGCAAACCCAACCAACAUUUUUAUAUCUACCUCCUGCCAUGCGACUUUAAGCAUGUAUUCAUUUAUUUAUUAUGUACAUAUUACUGAGCACCUACAAUAUGUCAAGCACAGUUUUGGGUUUGGGAAUGCAGCAAACAGGAGAUUAACUUCCCUAUUGUUCCCAGGUAGAUUAUCUUCCAAGGGAAUACUGACCAAAACUAAGUAACUAAUAAACAUCUAUUUUUAGAAGGUAUAUACAGGUGGUAGUAUAAAAUUGUUUUAUUGCUCCUCUGAAUCUUAAUUAUGAUUCAUUAUGUGGUUAUGCAUGAAAUUAAUAAAGUUUUUCUUAUGCAGAAGUAUAUGGGAGUACAGAGUGAAGUAACAGGAAGAAGUAGUAAAGCAAAAAAUUAUUGAGCUUUCAUCCAGAGAAGAUUCUCCAAGUGAGCUUUUCAAGAAAACCUAUUGGUGUUCUAUUAGCUGCUUACAUUUUUUCCCAAUUGUCAUUAUGGUCAUAAUUUAAUACAAAGAAUGAUGAUGUCGUAUAUCCACCCAUGCUGAGAAUGUGUCAGAUGUGCUUUCAAAGGUAGUUCCAAGCGGCUAUUACCUGAAGUAAAUAUUACACAAAAUAAAUUAAAUCUUAUUAGAUUCAAAGAUUGACAACAGUGACAAACAGAUUAGAGUAUUUUAAAGCUGGUCUUGCUUUUAGGAUUCAGAAGUGUUCAUUCGUAUGCUAGGCUUGCUGCUCUAUGCUACUCACUUCAGAGGAUAUAUUCUCUUUC